Non-coding RNA from Pelobates cultripes (western spadefoot toad), 805 nucleotides. The record is from the annotation of a GenBank genome assembly. NCBI's taxonomy places the organism in Eukaryota, Metazoa, Chordata, Amphibia, Anura, Pelobatidae.
GCAGAAGCCCCAUCGUUAUACGGUAACUGCCUGUUUUAGUUUUCAUGAACAUGUAUAACAUAUAUACAAUGAAAUAAGAUAACUUUCUAGCUUAGAUACAAGUGAGAUUUGUCUCAUUAUGUUUGUUAGCACAUGUAGGUUGCAUUCAGUUUCACAUUAUCUGUCGUCGGUAUAUUUCUAUGUGUCCCAGGUCGGGUCAGGUCUCUGUAGUCAGUUUUUCCUUAGCAGGCUGAGACUGACCGGUCAUUUCUGUGGCGUACGUCCCCUUUUUUUGGGGGGAGGAGGGACUGGUGCGGGUAUUAUGUGUCAAAUUGCUCCCAUAAUGCCCAGACUUUAUGAUAAGUGGUUGUGGUGUUUUGGACCUGAGCUGUCAAUUUGUCCAUUAGGCAAUUGUCUCUAAUUUUUUCUUGCACCAGUGUGAUGGGUGGGGUGUUGGAUUUUAUCCAGUGUUGCGCUAAAGCUCUUCUUGCUGCAAGAUUUAACAUGUUUAAAAGUCUCUGAUUAUAUUUGUCUAGUCCGUCUGUUGGUCUGGUUCCGCCGUUAGCCUUUUUUAUAAUAUAUAAUAUAUAAUAUGGAGUUCAUGUCUGUCAACUAUGUCCAGUAUGCUUUUUCCUUGGGACAUUGCCACCACAUGUGGAUGUAUGAGCCUUUUUCCCCACAUAGUCGCCAACAAGUAUCUGUGGGGCUUAGUCCCAUGUGGCAUUGUUUGACCGGGGUGGUGUACCAACGGAAUAGGGUCUUAUAAGUUUGUUCCUGUAGUGUAGUGCAGAUAGAUACUUUGGAACAUGCUUCCCAUAUGUCCCGC